Molecule: ribosomal RNA, 120 nt
Filed under: Penicillium coprophilum
Lineage: Eukaryota; Fungi; Ascomycota; Eurotiomycetes; Eurotiales; Aspergillaceae
Source: RNAcentral
ACAUACGACCAUAGGGUGUGGAAAACAGGGCUUCCCGUCCGCUCAGCCGUACUUAAGCCACACGCCGGUGAGUUAGUAGUUGGCUGGGUGACCACCAGCGAAUCCUCACUGUUGUAUGUU